Molecule: long non-coding RNA, 1018 nt
Organism: Oryza sativa Japonica Group (Japanese rice)
Lineage: Eukaryota; Viridiplantae; Streptophyta; Magnoliopsida; Poales; Poaceae
Source: RefSeq, a predicted model, not a curated record
CUCUUGGGCCAAAAUCAGCCCAGCCAUCGCCGGCCGUCCGAUCUUAGGUUUUCGAUCGGACGGCCGGGCACCUCUUUCGGGGUAACAAAAACCCCAAGCCGCCAAAGACGCCGUCCGAAACCCUAGCCGCUUGCUGGCCGGAACCCUAGCCACGGCGGCACGGCACGGCGGCAGGGCGGCACGGCGCGGCGGCGCCGUCGCACCCCCCUUUGCCGGCGCGCGCACUCACCCGAGAGUGAGUGCGCCGCCGUCGAGCGGCUGUGCAGCGGCGCCCGGCAAGCCGGCGGCGCGGCGCCGCCCCCUCUUUUCUCUCCCGCGUCGGCGUGAGGACGACCGGUGGUGGCAUGACUCCCGCGCGCGUCGGCGGCGGCCGGCGGCGGCGGUAGGCAUCUUCGACGCGAAUGAGAACAUUCAGUUGCCGCAAGCGCCAUCGCAUCACCGAGCCGCCCCCAUCGAUGCGUCUAGGGGAGUACUAUCAGAUGACCUAAUUUAACCUGGUUUUGUAAGUUUGGGUUUUUGGUAAAUAUGAGAGACCAAAAGUGAACUUAUUGCAAGCCUGAAUGAUAUAUUACUUGGGCCGGAUUAAGUUGCUGUUAUCAAGUCUGUCAAAAUUGUAUGAUUUAGGCCUUUAUAAAAAUUAAGACCCAAAUUGUAAGAAGCAUUAGUUCCUCUUGCUAAGGCCCAAACCAACUACAGAUCAUGCAAUCCACAUCCAGAUGAGAAAACAUACACACUCGAAUUUAGGCCCAACUUGAAUUUUGUUAUUUCUUUCUUUUUUCAUGUAAUGGAGUUUUUCUUCUUUCUUUGAAGAGAGAGAGAGAGGUGGAAAGGUCUAAAAAUGGGCCAUGAGAGAGAGAGACAGAGAGAGAGAGAGAGAGAGAGAGAGAGAGAGGUGGAAAGGUCUAAAAAUGGGCCAUGGUGGUAGGUGUGUGUGAAGGAAGUAUUUUUCCCCAGCUACAGUUUGGUCGAUAUGUACUUUUUAACGAACUUUUGCAAAAGUGAGAUGGCUUUUAGGAGU